CGAUUUUUGCUUUCCACUGC
RNAcentral lists this microRNA (20 nucleotides) under Ciona intestinalis (vase tunicate). RNAcentral's name for it is "cin-miR-4011a-3p". The record is from miRBase by way of RNAcentral. Lineage: Eukaryota; Metazoa; Chordata; Ascidiacea; Phlebobranchia; Cionidae.